UCGCACCUACCGAUUGAAUGGUCCGGUGAAGCCUCGGGAAUGUGACCAGUUCGCUUUAUUGUGAGUUGGUUGCGUGAACUUGUCUAAACCUUAUCAUUUAGAGGAAGGUG
This 110-nucleotide ribosomal RNA is filed under the name uncultured eukaryote. RNAcentral describes it as "partial small subunit ribosomal RNA". It matches the Rfam family "Eukaryotic small subunit ribosomal RNA", at positions 1676 to 1785 of the family's 1831-position model. The record is from RNAcentral.